ACGAACGCUGGCGGCGUGCCUAAUACAUGCAAGUCGAGCGGACUGAAUGGGAGCUUGCUCUUGUUCGGUCAGCGGCGGACGGGUGAGUAACACGUGGGCAACCUGCCCGCAAGACCGGGAUAACUCCGGGAAACCGGAGCUAAUACCGGAUAACACCGAAGACCGCAUGGUCUUUGGUUGAAAGGCGGCGCAAGCUGCCACUUGCGGAUGGGCCCGCGGCGCAUUAGCUAGUUGGUGAGGUAACGGCUCACCAAGGCGACGAUGCGUAGCCGGCCUGAGAGGGUGACCGGCCACACUGGGACUGAGACACGGCCCAGACUCCUACGGGAGGCAGCAGUAGGGAAUCUUCCGCAAGGGGCGAAAGCCUGACGGAGCGACGCCGCGUGAGCGAAGAAGGCCUUCGGGUCGUAAAGCUCUGUUGUGAGGGACGAAGGAGCGCCGUUUGAAGAAGGCGGCGCGGUGACGGUACCUCACGAGGAAGCCCCGGCUAACUACGUG
RNAcentral lists this ribosomal RNA (498 nucleotides) under uncultured bacterium. RNAcentral's name for it is "partial 16S ribosomal RNA". It matches the Rfam family "Bacterial small subunit ribosomal RNA", at positions 29 to 507 of the family's 1533-position model. The record is from RNAcentral.